AACUUAGAUGACAAUGUAUAUACUUUAUCACAUUAUAUAGGUGUUGCAACAACGUAUAUACUUUAUCACAUUAUAAGUCCUCACACCAUCAACUAUGACAAAAUAUGAGAGUAUAAGUCUGGUUACAUUCACCCAAGUCCAAACAUAAAAUUCUGUCCAACAUAGUACAGCCCACUUUGAUAAUUUCAUAGGAUUUAAUAUACCGAACGAAACCUGACAAGUGAUAUGUGUUUUAAGUAUCUACAUAACAGCCUCUAAAAUUUUCAUGUUGUAACUUUAUUUUAAUACCACCUCUAACAGGGCCUAAUCUCCCAUAUCAAAAUACUGUACCCAGGAU
RNAcentral lists this long non-coding RNA (337 nucleotides) under Hordeum vulgare. RNAcentral's name for it is "long non-coding RNA (HVUL_LNC014726)". The record is from RNAcentral. Lineage: Eukaryota; Viridiplantae; Streptophyta; Magnoliopsida; Poales; Poaceae.